CUUAGCGCUCGCCUAGGAUUCCCGCGGAGCCGCGCCACCUCUGUGAGUCUGUGACCUCGCCUGCCGCCAUUGCCCUCCUUCCCUCUUUUUCAUUGCUAUAUCGCCUACUGUGGAGGCGUGGAGUGCUGAUUCCGGGCGGAUCCGCCGUCGCCCGUGACGCCUGGAGCCGUCGCGCGACCCCCCACCACGCCCGACCUCUGCCGUCCCGGUCGUGUGCUCGUCGACGAGCCGUCCCCUCCGCUUACAGCAAUGCGCGCUGAGGCGACCAUAACGGCCUCACGCUCCAGGGUUCCCUCCAGGAUGGUGUUCGACAGAUUGUUCAAACGGGACAGCAUGUUCGGCCGGCAUGCCACAAAUUUCCUCCUUGGGUCAUCGUCGAUGACAAUCGGAUGGAAUCCUGUGGGGUUGGGUGUCAGUCAUGGAUAACUGAUGGCUGCACUCGUGUUCAGUGCGAUGCCUGACAGAUAUCUACUCGCGUUUCAGGAGGCUGUUGGCGUAAUGCUUGGCACAAGCUGGCAUUUCUGGAGCGACCAUGUUUGGAAGCGAUGCUGCCAGGAUGACGCCGCAGUUCCAUCUCUGCCGUAAAUAAGGUGACCGGUGUGAACCCACCAGCAGAAACUCCCUCCCACACCCUUGGAGCAGAAUGGUUGCAAUUGCCACAUAAGGCGAUGAAGUACCAUGCAGUAUCACAGAGACCAAUGAAGAAGCUCGAUAGCUUGGCAUAAGCAAAUGACACUGCUUCACUAUCUGUUAAUUGUGGCAUGAAUCCAUCAAUUACUUUUGUUUAGAGGUUUAUUCCAUUAUCUCUCCCAGGCUUGUAUGCAACUGAACAAGCAUUUGUCAGCUGUGGACUUGAAGUAGUGAAUGUUCACACUCCAGGUUUCAGCUGACCAUGCUGCAGUUUAUUUACAUCCAGGAUGGACUGCACAUGUGGUUCUCAGUGAAGUGCCUCUUGGAGGUUAUAUGCUUUUAUGGAGUCUUGUGCAAGAUCAAUCAUUCUGGGUCUGCAGAUCGUAAUCCCAUGGCUUGCUGAUCUAUCCUAUGGUGGAUUGUGCACAGCUGCAUUUCAGUAGAAUACCCGAGGUACAUGUUAUGCCUGGUACUUGUCUGGCCUUAGAGGGUUCUCAAGUCAUUCUGUCCAUCAUGGUUCAUCAUGCUGCUUGAACAUGUUUUUUUGUUGUGACGUUGGGAUUUCUUAAAUAUUUACCAAGAAAAUUCCAACAAAACAAAGUAGUUGAAGGUCCUCGUUAUUUGACAUGGCAAGGGACAAAACUGGAGCACAAAGUAAUGCAACUUGCAUGUGGUGGAAAUUUCUAUUGUCGUAGCAAAGAGGAGGCUGUCUGUUGGUGUAAGGCUUAGCACAAGCUGACAUUUGAGAUGGAACGCACCUGGGGAAUGACUUGUUUGUGUUCGAUGAACUGCCACAGAUGGACUGCACAUGUAGUUCUCCGUGAAGAGCCUCUUGGUGGCUAUGCUUUAUGGAAUCUUGUGCAAGAUCAAUCAUUCUGGAAGGCAUACCCAUGGAACGUUCACGUCUGUGUUUCAGUAGAAUACCCGAGGUCGAUAGGGAGGAGAUGCGACGGCGAUGGGCCUGGCAUAAGACCGCUCUUUGCAAUAGACCAAGUUUUUUUAUGUUCUAUAUAUUUGAAUUCGAUAUUAAAGAUAAUGGUUGUUCUAUAUA
This is a non-coding RNA of Triticum urartu, 1681 nucleotides long. Lineage: Eukaryota; Viridiplantae; Streptophyta; Magnoliopsida; Poales; Poaceae. The record is from RefSeq and is a predicted model, not a curated record.